RNAcentral lists this unclassified non-coding RNA (216 nucleotides) under plant metagenome. RNAcentral describes it as "partial contains small subunit ribosomal RNA, internal transcribed spacer 1, and 5.8S ribosomal RNA". The record is from RNAcentral.
CGUAGGUGAACCUGCGGAAGGAUCAUUACAGAGUUCAUGCCCUCACGGGUAGAUCUCCCACCCUUGAAUAUUUAUACCUUAGUUGCUUUGGCAGGCCGUGGAAACACCAUGGGCUCCGGCUUAUGCGUGCCUGCCAGAGGAAACAAACUCUGUUUUUAGUGAUGUCUGAGUACUAUAUAAUAGUCAAAACUUUCAACAACGGAUCUCUUGGUUCUG